RNAcentral lists this long non-coding RNA (7204 nucleotides) under Sus scrofa (pig). RNAcentral describes it as "lncRNA (ENSSSCG00060028555.1)". Lineage: Eukaryota; Metazoa; Chordata; Mammalia; Artiodactyla; Suidae. The record is from RNAcentral.
AAUCAGUGAUUUAAAUACCUGUAUCCAUUCUUAGUGUGCAGUGUAUAUCCAAUUUUCAGUUGCUAUUAUUCUCUCAUUUAACGAACAUGUAUUCCUCUGUGUCAUGAGUUGUGCUUGUUGGUUCCUGGGGAUACAGAGAGAAGGGACACCCAGUUUCUUGGAAGCUCAGUCCAGUGGCGUCAAUUCACUCAUUUGGAGUCUUAUGUUCUAGAAAAUCCAUAGGAAGAUAACAUAUAUUCCUACGGAAACCUUAACAAUUCACUUAUUUAUGCAUUCUCCGAAUACCUAUCGACUGCCUGCUAUGUGCCAAGCUCUUUGCUUAGUCAUAGGGGAGACUCAAAGGUGGCUAAAAUACAUUAUCUACCUUCAAGAAGCUUACAAUAAAAAAAAAAAAGGGAUUUGAAACACAUAAAAAGAAUGUUCAGUCAUAGUAGAAAGAUAAAAAAGUGAGACUCGGCUUUCAAACACUUUGCAGUGAGAAGAACAUGCAUACAUUGGAAAUAAAGACUCCCCAAGCUUGCGCCUUAAGUACACCAUGCAAUUUUUAAAACAUCCAUUGAAGGCUGAAUACCCUCAGCUCAGACGUAACCGAGGGAGGGUUUAUUCUUGAGCGCGCAGUUUUUCAGAAUAUUCUGAGAAAGAGUGAAUGCUUUUAAUGGGGGAGGUUAAAGUUGAAAUGUAUUUGGGGAUUGAGGGAGGGGGAGGGUGUGGAAAGACGCCAAUUGUAUUAUUAAUAAAAUUGAUCCAAGCUAGGCCAGUGGAAAUAGAAGGAGGAAUUACAUCGAUAAAACAAAUGGUACCUCCUGUAACCUUGAACUCAGUGUUGAUAGAACAGCGGACGGGGAGAUUUGGAGAAUCAAUGAAGCUACCUCUAAAAUCUCAAAGCAAUUGAUUGAAAGAGAGUAAAGAAAACAGGUGAAAAAAAAUGUUCAGCCUUUCAUCCUUGCAAAUGAGGCCACCAGGUUGAUCGCCCACUCUUAAAAUCAGACUCUUAAUACAGGCUUUAGGAAGGGGGAAAAAAAAAAAAAAGGUGUCACGUCAUCUGAAAAUAGGUUAGGCUGCUCUGUUGUAUUUAUAGGAAGAGAAUGAUCUAGUUCAUGCAUUCUAAGUAGUUCAACUUUUAUGUAUGAAAUCAAAUCAUCCCCAUUCAGGAUGAUGGAAUCUGGACUUUCUUAAAUACCCAUCCUUGUAUUUCUUCUUGUGUAAAAAAGGAAACUGAAACUAUUCCAUCAACGUGUUCUGAUACUAAAAUGAAAUUUGUGGCAGUGUAUUUCCAUGGUCCGGUGCAAUCCCGCUUGUGGCAGUUUCUCCACAAACUUGUUCACUUUUGAACUUCUUUUGAAAACAUUUUUAUGGACGCAUAGUGGACUUACAAUGUUGUGUUAGUUUCAGGUGUACAGCAAAAUGAAUCAGUUACACAUACGCAUAUACCCAUUCCUUUUCAGAUUCUUUUCCAUACGGGUUAUUCCACAGUAUGGAAUAGAUUUCCCUGUGUUCUGCUGUAGGUCCUUCUUACUUACGUAUCUUGUAUACCAUCAUGUGUAUGUUAAUCCCAACCUUCUAAUUUAGCUCUCCCCCCAAAACGUUUUUCCUUUGGUAACCAUUAGUUUGGUUUCCCAAUCUUUGAGUCUAUGUCUGUUUCAUGAAUAAGUUCUUUUGUAUCAUUUUUUUAUUAGAUUCCACAUGUUAGUGAUCUCAUAUGAUAUUUGUCUUUCUGUGACUUAUUUCACUUUGUAUGAUAAUCUCUAGGUGCAUCAUUAUUGCCACAAAUGGCAUUCUUUUUUUUUUUUUUUUGGCUGCACCUGUGGCAGGCAGAAGUUCCUGGACCGGGGACUGAACCCGCAAUACAGCAGUGACAAGAGCCACCGCUGUGACAGUGCCAGAUCCUUAUCCCACUAAGCUACCAGGAAACACCCCAAAUGACAUUCUUUCAUUUUCCUUUAUGGCUGCGUAGUAUUCCAUUGUGUUUAUAUAGCGCAUCUUUUUUAUCCAUUCACCUGUUGAUCGACUUUUAGGUCAUUUCCAUGUGGGCUUUUGUGAGUAGUGCUGCUAUGAACAUAGGGGUAUCUUUUCGAAUUAUAGUUUUGUUCAGAUAUAUGAAUGACAGGGACAUAUUCUUGAAGGAAGCUCACUCAAGUAGAAACUGAAUCAAAUGAAGGAACAAGCCAUGGGAUAAUUCUGGGGGCCAAGUGUUCCAGGCAGAGGGAAAAGCAGAUGCAAGGUCCCUAUGGUGGUGACGAGCUUGGGGUUUUUGAGAAAUAGCAAGAUCGGUGAGGCUGAAGUGCACUGAGCGAGGGGAGUGGAAGGACAUAAGAGUGAGUGAGGGAUGAAGGUGGGGACUAUAUCAUGUGGGGCCUUGUGGGUCAUAGGAAAGAAUUCAGAUCUUAUUGUGAGCAAAUGUUAAGCCCCUAGAGGGUUUGAGUAGGGGAGGACUUUGUAUCUUUAAAAGGCGAUUUGAGUUGCCAAGUAGAGAAUAACUCUAGGAAGCAAAAGACAAAGCUGAUCGUUCAGUUAGGACACUACAAAUGGGAGAAGUGGUUAGAUGUGGGAUGUGGUUUUUGAAGGAGGAGCUAAAAGGACAUGCUGAUGGGGUGGACGUGGAGUGUGGGGAUAGAGGGGAAUUAAGGAUGAUCCCUAAGUUUUAUCUUGAGCAUCUUGGUGGAUAGUGGUGGUGUUUCAUGAAAUGGAGAAGGCUAGGGAGAGAAUGGACUUGGGGUAAAAUAUCAAUGAUUCUGUUUUGAAAUUUGAGGUGAAUAAUAGACAAUAGUAAGUAGAGAUGUGUGAAGGAGGUAGUUUGGUCCAUGAAUCUGAAAUUCCAAAAAAGAGAUCAGAGAUACAGGGAUGUAUUGGGACUUCUGGAUAUAGAUGAUGUUUACAACUGUGAUACGAAGUGAAAUCCUCUAGGCAGAAAUUAUAGAAAGAAAAAAGAAGACCAGCAAAAAAGCUCAGAGGUCCUCCAUGAAUCUGAAGGUGAGAUGACUUGACCUGCAGCUCCAGGUCUCACCAUGUAAACCUAAACCUCUGUCAGAGCUGAUCUCAUAACUUCUGAGGUUACCCGGGGAAGAUGUUCUCUUGUGGGCUGGACUUGAGACCAUGUAUAUCAAGCCUGGGAUUUCUGGGGGCCACCCGCUGGAGAAAGUCAUCUGAGAAUGAAGCCAACAUAGAAGCGGAGCAAAUUGAUGGGGAGAAAGACUCCCAACUACAUCAUCUAAGGACCUGGAUCCAGCCAUGCUUGAAGUUCAGUUCAUUUCUGCUUUUUUGUUUUGUUUUUCUGUUACAUGAGUCAAUAAGAUACCCUUCUUGUCAAGUCAGUAUGAGUUGCAUUUUAUGUCUCUUGUAGCUGUUGCCCAGCAUCUUACCCUGUACGUUAUAAAUGAUGUGUCUAGGUUCACACAGUCAUUAGUGACACAUCUGGCCUUAGUCCCAAGCCUCCCUAGUAGUCCACGGUUAUUUUACACCACAUCUUCAUGCUUCUUGCUCUUUCUUGGGCUGUACCACUUGCUGCUCUAUCUUCCACAACUUCCAUAUUAACCUAAUUUAGAUGAUGAUGACUCUGGGGUGGCAUAAAAUUGUGUGUGUGUGUGUGUGUGUGUGAUGUGACUAGGUAUCCAUCCUGGGAUCACAUAAGCUGAGCACCACCAACCAUAUCCAUUCUGAGAGAGGAAGCUGGGAAUUGAGAAGGUUCUGGGAUGGUUAUCACCAGAUGGAAUGGAACUGUGAAUAGCUCCCACUAGAAUAAUUUAUGCCAAAGCUUAGGACCUCUGUUCUCAUCAGGAGCAAAUUUUGGGCAUGUGUCUGAUGCCCAAACUCUUGGUCUUUUAGGCAGAAAAUGGCACUGGCUCUAUCGAUGUCUAGGAGAGGAGCCAAUGAGUGACCAUGUUCCCAAGCUUGGCACUUAGCAUUUUUGUCAGGGAAGUCCUCCAAGGUCCUAUUCAUCCACUUACCAUGUAUCCAGUUCCUUCUAUGUUCCAUACAGUAGGCUGAGCCCUGGAGAAAUGAACAAGGCUAGGAGCCUGUGCUGCAGGAAUUCUCAGUCUAACACGGGAGAAGAACAUGGCAGCAUAAUGGCAGUGUGAUAAACUCUGUGAUAGUAGGUGCAAGAUGCUAUGGGAGCAGAAGGGAAAGUUCUGACUGAGUGAAUCAGGGGCACCUUCAUGGAGGUGGUGAUACCUUGAGCUGGGCUUACAAACUUGAGGACCAAGCAGGAAAAAUAUUUAAAGUGAUCAUAUAUAGGACAGUAGGGAGAGGAGAAGCAUCAUGCACUGGAGAGUACCUGUCCUCUCCAAAGGCAUUUGGAUGUAACCUUUUGAAGAACCUUGUGCUGGUGAACUAAACCCAUCUGCAGGAUGCUGUAGCUGGCCAGUUCAACCUCUGCCUUUGAACCAGUGAGUAAAAAUUCUCCCAGCAGACAGGGGAAAAAGCACUCCUGGAAGUAGUCUAGGGAGCUCUUGUUGUGGCUCAGCAGGUUAAGAAUCAUACAUAGUACCCAUGAAGAUCUGGGAUCGAUCCCUGGCCUUGCUCAGUGGGUUAAAGAUCUGGUGUUGAUGCAAGCUGCAGCAUAGCUCGCAGAUGUGGCUUGUAUCCUGCUUUGCCGUGGCUGUAGCAUAAUCCUGCAGCUGCAGCUCUGAUUUGAUGCCUAGCAUGGGAACUUUCAUAUGCCACAGGGGUGGCCCUAAAAAAGAAAAUUUUUAAAAAGGAAGCUUAAAAAGCUCAGAGUAUAUAAAAUCACCCGGGCUGAGGCAGAGGGCUGACGCAGUGUGAAAGUUGCUUUGGUUCCUUAUUCUCCUGGUCUAGAUCUUGACUCCUGCUACUCAGAUGAUCAUCCUGCAUUCUGGACCGUGUAACUAUUUAGCCUUGCAACCUGAUUUGAGCCUUCACGUUUUAGUGAACGUGUUCGGACCCUGACCCGCGUCGUCGUUUCACUCUUUCUCUUUGUGAUACUCUGACACCAACUCUCCUCCCUUUUCGAAAGUGUCUCCUCUGAAUGUUGAAUCUGGCCGAGUGUAUCCAUUAUGCAUCAUAAUAUGGUAACAGUCAGGAGUGUGGGACGUGAAUCAAAUGCCUGGAUUGAAAUCCUCCCUCAUCCCUUAGUAGUGGUCUAAUUUUGAAGUUUCUGAACGUAUAUAUUUCAUUUCUCUGAGGCUCAGUUUCUUUUUCCAUGAAAUGGGCAUAAUAAAGCAUACUUUGUUUUAUUUAGAUAAUGCCCUUGGCAUAACACCUGGUGCAUAGAGAGGCAUAGCUCUGUGGAAAUGGAUGAACACCAAAAUAUAAUCAACAUUCCCAUGCAGAGUCCUAAUUCUGCCUCCAUAACUAGAAUCCAGAUUUGUGCUGGAUUUUGCCCUUCUUUUGAUGAUUCCCUAUUCUCUGCUGGUUCAUGAUCCUAGCUCCUAGACAGCCUGGGCUUUCCAGGUCUUGCCUCCCUCCUUGCACACACCCUGCCCUGCUUUCACUGGUCCUGAUGCGGACAUGAGUAGAGCCAACUGUGGAUAAGAUAUUAACAUCUAUCCAUCAAGAACUUUCGAAUGUGUGCUCAGCACUCGAUGGAAAGACCUCUGGAUCAUUUUGUUCAGACAAAAGAGUCCAACUUCCCCUUUGAUGAUUCUCUUGGUCUGGCCACCAGAGUUCUCGCCUAUUUUCGUUGACAGAUAUUGCUCCCCAUCAGCAACAAGACACCCUGGGCUCUGUGUUGCAGUGAAAUUGGUGAACUUCUGAAGUCGCUCAGCCUGCAGUCUUUCACUUGACAACACCCCCUACGGUGCUCCAUAAUUGCCUGGAAAUGCAUGGUGUCUCCCAUCUUGUUGCUUAAUUAAAAUUCAGUCCUGUUCAACAGAGUCACAAUUAAGAGGUGUUUUUGUCUUUCUUUCUACUGCUCUCAUUUCAGGACCCCGAUCGUGAUGUCUCCUUGCUGAAUCUGGAAAUUGUCUGAAAUAUUUCCAGUGGGCAGAGGGUCACUGUAGUGAUGCCUGGAAAGGAAAGGUGCCAUGUUCUAUGGAGAGCAUAUUAAAUGCUACUUUCUGUUACUUUAUUUGAUCUCCAUUAGGCAGGUCGUGUUAUCCUCAUGCAUGCUGAGAAGGAACUGUGGCUCAGAGAGGAGAGGUAGCAUGCCUGAGAUUGUACAGCUUGUUAGGGCAUGAGCAAGAACUAAAAACACAGAGAUGGAGUUCCUGUGGUGGCUCAGCUGUAAUGAACCUGACUAGCCAGGGAUCGAACCUGCAACCUCAUGUAGACUCGUCAGGUUUGUUACCUCUGAGCCAUGAUGGGAACUUCCAGAGGCAGCUGUCUUAAUCAUGUCACAGGAAGGAUGCUAAAGGAUUGGGAGGUAGGAUAAUGAAAUUGCUCUUAUAAGGGACACGAUCUCAAAUAUCUGAAUCAAUAAUCAAGGCCUCACUAAAUGCUUGUAAUUAUCAAGUUGGGGGGGAGAUUAACAAUGAUGACUGGAUGUUGGAAAUCCCAAAUCUGCCACCCUCAACCUCUAAAGUUUUGGAGAACUAGUGAAAGAAUCGGUGUGUUCUUAUUCCUUUCACUACCCUCAACACUCAGGGUACAUCAAACUGCUUGGUCCAAAAGUUCUGUGCCCCAAGCAUCAAUAGGUACUCAAUUGAUGAUAGUUUAAUCCCAAACCACUUUGCAUAUUGACUUAAAAGUCAAUCUCUCUACAUGCUCUUGAGAGAAGUGGCUAUCUUUGAAGCACUGGAAUUGACCCCAUUCUCUCCUCAGUCGGACUCCCUGGGAGCUGAAUCCUCACUUGGAGUUAGCAGUCAAAGAUUAUAAAAUUAUUGUCUUGAGUAAGUCUCUUCUCUCCCUGUAAUUCCAACGCUAAGUGAGGGUUGACCCUGCCUCCCCUUCCCCACCCCCUCCCAGCGUAAUUAUCUCUCCAAUUAAAGAGCAUCUGAGGGACAACUGAACUCGAGGGUCUGCUGAAUUAUGACUAAUCACUCUGCAGAGGAAUCUCACUCAGCUUUGAUCUCUUAUCGCUCUGCGAACACAACCCUGUCUCUCUAAGGCCAGCAGCUCUCAGCAUCGCUGUGUCUAAUCAGGCGUGUCACACCUCCACUGAGGUAAAUUGGGUUUAUUGGAGAAGGGAAAUGAAAUUAAGUCUGUUUAGGAAUUAAUCGUAACUGUCUAGGCUUUAUCUAUCAUAUUAUCCCAUAGUGGUAUAUCAGGAUCAAAAUCCGCUGACCCAGUUUUGGAAAAAAAACAAAAA